AGAGUUUGAUCCUGGCUCAGAUUGAACGCUGGCGGCAGGCCUAACACAUGCAAGUCGAGCGGUAACAGAUCUAGCUUGCUAGAUGCUGACGAGCGGCGGACGAGUGAGUAAUGCAUAGGAAUCUGCCCGGUAGUGGGGGAUAACCUGGGGAAACCCAGGCUAAUACCGCAUACGUCCUACGGGAGAAAGGGGGCUUCGGCUCCCGCUAUCGGAUGAGCCUAUGUCGGAUUAGCUAGUUGGUGAGGUAACGGCUCACCAAGGCGACGAUCCGUAGCUGGUCUGAGAGGAUGAUCAGCCACAUCGGGACUGAGACACGGCCCGAACUCCUACGGGAGGCAGCAGUGGGGAAUAUUGGACAAUGGGGGGAACCCUGAUCCAGCCAUGCCGCGUGUGUGAAGAAGGCCUUCGGGUUGUAAAGCACUUUCAGCGAGGAAGAACGCCUAGUGGUUAAUACCCAUUAGGAAAGACAUCACUCGCAGAAGAAGCACCGGCUAACUCCGUGCCAGCAGCCGCGGUAAUACGGAGGGUGCAAGCGUUAAUCGGAAUUACUGGGCGUAAAGCGCGCGUAGGUGGCUUGAUAAGCCGGUUGUGAAAGCCCCGGGCUCAACCUGGGAACGGCAUCCGGAACUGUCAGGCUAGAGUGCAGGAGAGGAAGGUAGAAUUCCCGGUGUAGCGGUGAAAUGCGUAGAGAUCGGGAGGAAUACCAGUGGCGAAGGCGGCCUUCUGGACUGACACUGACACUGAGGUGCGAAAGCGUGGGUAGCAAACAGGAUUAGAUACCCUGGUAGUCCACGCCGUAAACGAUGUCGACCAGCCGUUGGGUGCCUAGAGCACUUUGUGGCGAAGUUAACGCGAUAAGUCGACCGCCUGGGGAGUACGGCCGCAAGGUUAAAACUCAAAUGAAUUGACGGGGGCCCGCACAAGCGGUGGAGCAUGUGGUUUAAUUCGAUGCAACGCGAAGAACCUUACCUACCCUUGACAUCUACAGAAGCCGGGAAGAGAUUCUGGUGUGCCUUCGGGAACUGUAGACAGGUGCUGCAUGGCUGU
RNAcentral lists this ribosomal RNA (1047 nucleotides) under uncultured bacterium. Its description in RNAcentral is "bacterial SSU rRNA". It matches the Rfam family "Bacterial small subunit ribosomal RNA", at positions 8 to 1052 of the family's 1533-position model. The record is from RNAcentral.